CCCAUAUCACGUUGAAACACUGGUUUCCAUACGAUCACCGAAGUUAAGCAACGUCAAACCUAGUCAGUACCUAGAUGGGUGACCGCUUGAGAAUACUAGGUGCU
Non-coding RNA from Acanthosepion pharaonis, 104 nucleotides. The record is from the annotation of a GenBank genome assembly. Lineage: Eukaryota; Metazoa; Mollusca; Cephalopoda; Sepiida; Sepiidae.